This 310-nucleotide ribosomal RNA is filed under the name Lamproderma ovoideum. RNAcentral describes it as "bacterial SSU rRNA". It matches the Rfam family "Eukaryotic small subunit ribosomal RNA", at positions 80 to 340 of the family's 1831-position model. The record is from RNAcentral. Lineage: Eukaryota; Evosea; Eumycetozoa; Stemonitida; Stemonitidae.
UCUGAAUCUGCGUACGGCUCCGCAAACCAGUUGUAAACUAUAGCAAGCAGGCUCGGGGUCGGCUCUCACGGGCUGGCUUCGGGCGAUAUGGAUAACCCUGGUAAUUCUGAGGCUAAUACAUGAACGUAAAACCUGGUUGACUGGGCUUCGGUCUGGGAGGCUGGGGGAUGUGUGAUUGCAGGCUUGGGUAACACCGGGAAAGGGCGCACGUCCAGACCGCGCUAUAAAGGAUGGGACCUCUUCGGGGGACCCGCCCCAGCGGCUCUUGCUGUGUGCUUCUGACCUAUCAACUAGACGGCAGCGUAACGGA